GCCAGGCAUGGUGGUGCACGCCUGUAAUCCCUGCAGCUCAGGAGGCUGAGGCAGGAAGAUGGGGAGUUCAAAGCCAGCCUCAG
This 83-nucleotide small RNA is filed under the name Marmota monax (woodchuck). The record is from RNAcentral. Lineage: Eukaryota; Metazoa; Chordata; Mammalia; Rodentia; Sciuridae.